This 564-nucleotide long non-coding RNA is filed under the name Gossypium barbadense (sea-island cotton). RNAcentral's name for it is "long non-coding RNA (GBAR_LNC018957)". The record is from RNAcentral. Lineage: Eukaryota; Viridiplantae; Streptophyta; Magnoliopsida; Malvales; Malvaceae.
UUUAGUUUUAGAGUUUUGUUUAAGUAAUAACUUUCCAGCAGCCGCAUCUGUAGUCAUGCCAUCCGUUCCUGGCCUAUCUACUCGAAGCAAAUUGACCUCCUUGCUAGUUAAAGAUUUUUACAUUUUGUUUGAGUAUUAACCAAAUUGACCGUUAUGUCUUGCUAACAAAUCAACACAGCUAUUACACUCCUGAAUACGAAAUACCAGUCCCGAUUACAAAGUACUUUCAGCUGUCGCAGUUCCGCAAGACCACUGAUCACAGAAAUGCCGCGGCGAAUGGUCUCGACUGGUAGAGCGUUGUCAUUCUCCACUUCCACCUUUCUAUACCUCCUAUCGACCCUCCAGCGCUGAUCAAGCUUCCGCUUGAAACACCAAAGCAUCCCCAAACCAACCAUCAUCCGGCAGAAUCUCUCAACAGCCAACUCGGCCUGUUGUUUGUUCCUACCAUUGAUAUAAAAACGAGCCCAAGACACUCCUGUAUGUAAUAAUAUCGACCCAAUAUCACAAAGCACAAUCGAAUGUAUAAAUAUAUUUAUAUAGGGUGUUGUGAAAUUUAAAUCAAAG